CGGCGCCGUGUUCAUACGGGAAAACCUAAUAAUUAAAUUAAAUGUUUCGUUGUUUUUGAAUGGUCGACCGGACGUUUUUAAAACUCUUAAAAAUUUAUAUUUAUUUGAUAUGGGAAUUUACAAUCAAAUCAACAACCCUAAUACCGUGUAGUACAAGCGUCUAAUCUACGGACGGACGGACACGGCGGGAAUAUUGAGUGGUGUUCAAGAAUUACGAUUAGAAAUCCAAAACGGAACCCCGACGGU
Cinara cedri is the source of this 246-nucleotide non-coding RNA. The record is from the annotation of a GenBank genome assembly. Lineage: Eukaryota; Metazoa; Arthropoda; Insecta; Hemiptera; Aphididae.